CUCUGGGUUAGUCGGGUCCUAAGCUGAGGCCGACAGGCGUAGGCGAUGGAUAACAGGUUGAUAUUCCUGUACCACCUAUAAUCGUUUUAAUCGAUGGGGGGACGCAGUAGAAUAGGCGAAGCGUGCGAUUGGAUUGCACGUCUAAGCAGUAAGGCUGAGUAUUAGGCAAAUCCGGUACUCGUUAAGGCUGAGCUGUGAUGGGGAGAAGACAUUGUGUCUUC
This 221-nucleotide ribosomal RNA is filed under the name Staphylococcus aureus. RNAcentral describes it as "partial 23S ribosomal RNA". It matches the Rfam family "Bacterial large subunit ribosomal RNA", at positions 1373 to 1586 of the family's 2925-position model. Lineage: Bacteria; Bacillati; Bacillota; Bacilli; Caryophanales; Staphylococcaceae. The record is from RNAcentral.